Long non-coding RNA from Neomonachus schauinslandi (Hawaiian monk seal), 282 nucleotides. RefSeq lists it as uncharacterized. The record is from RefSeq and is a predicted model, not a curated record. The transcript has 3 exons. Lineage: Eukaryota; Metazoa; Chordata; Mammalia; Carnivora; Phocidae.
UCGCUCUAGGGUUUUGGGGCGCUAGGGCGCGGAGUCGUCAGCUCCGAGUCGUAAGCAGUUUUCCGCGUAGCUCCGAGUCCAGUACCGGCGUGCGAGGCAGAGGGACGUGGCAGGCAGGAUGUCAUUUUCAAAAUCCGGGAUGGUGCCUCUGCCUCAUUAACUGCCGUAGGAAGGCUGCUACACCUAGGCGGAUGCUUGCUUAUUGAUCCUGACCGUUAUUCCGACUAACGCCCUGUGUCGUUGAGUAUAUCUGUUAAGAUGCUUUAGAAAAAGAAUCAUGGA